UUUGUCUAAAAAGAUAUAUAAUUUGCUAAGAGCGGGGGAUUGAAAACAAGAUUUUCACUAUAACAUUGGAUAAUGUUUCUUCCAAUGAUGUUUGUGUUGGGUUAUUAAAACAAACAUUAAACAUUAAGAAAGCCCUUCUUUGUGAAGGUGAGUUCUUUCAUCUGCGUUGUUGUGCCCAUAUUCUUAAUUUGAUAGUGCAAAAUGGAUUGAAAGAGAUCAAUGAUGCUAUUCAAAAGAUUCGAGAUAGUGUAAAGUAUGUUAGAGGAUCAUAAGUGCUUUCUUCAGGCUGUAAAUCAAAUGUCAUUAGAUAGUAAUAAGUGGUUAAAACAAGAUGUGCCAAUCAGAUGGAAUUCUACAUAUCUUAUGCUUGAGAGUGCUAUUCACUAUCGGCGUACUAUUAGUUAUUUGGAGAUGACUGAUUCAAACUAUAAGCAUUGUCCUACUACACUUGAGUGGAAAAAGGUAAAUAAUAUCAAUAGUUUCUUAGCUUGCUUUUACCAAGCUACAUGUACUUUUUCUGGUACCAAGUAUCCCAUUUCCAACUUAUACUUUCCCGUAAUUGCUAUGAUUUAUGUAACCUUGAAGCAACACCUUGUGAGUGAAGAUGAGCAUAAGAGCUUAAUGGCAACUCCAAUGAUCUCUAAAUUUGAGAAAUAUUGGUCAAAAUUCAGUUAAGUGUUGGCCAUAGCAGUUAUCUUAGAUCCUCGUUACAAGCUUCACCUUGUAAAUUACUACUAUAUGAAGAUUUAUGGAGUAGGAUUCUGUAGAGUUUGUGAAUGUUUGUGAGAAAUUAGUGCAGCUUUUUAUGGAGUAUAGUGCUUAUUCUAGAACUUCAAGCUCCAUAGUUGUUCAGCCCCAAGAACAUCGCACAGUGCUAGAUUGGGAAAAGGAAUAUUUAGCAUUUGAUGGAGUUGAUAUUAAUUCACAAAAGAAUCAAUUGAAAAUAUAUUUGGAGGAACCUAGGUCUUUCGAUAAGAAUGCAACAUUUGACAUCCUUUCAUUUUGGAAAGAAAAUGAAUUUCGCUAUCCUGAAGUAGCUGGAGCUCACUCAAGCCUGAUAUUGUUGAGGCAUUAGUUUGCACAAAAGAUUGGUUAUGGAGAGCAAGUUGGAUAGCAAAGAAGAGGAUAUUUUGACAAUGGAUGUCAAUUCCUGUGACAUUCUAAAUUCAUCUAAAGCACAAUCUGAUAAUAUUUCUUAAAAUGAGCAUAUUUGUUGUGUUUCAUAUCUUUAAUUGCAUGUGAUGAAUCAUGGAUCCUUCAAGUGGACAAACCAGGCAUACUGGCCCAUGGGAACCUAAU
Corylus avellana is the source of this 1299-nucleotide long non-coding RNA. RefSeq lists it as uncharacterized. Lineage: Eukaryota; Viridiplantae; Streptophyta; Magnoliopsida; Fagales; Betulaceae. The record is from RefSeq and is a predicted model, not a curated record.